Molecule: small RNA, 662 nt
Filed under: Histoplasma capsulatum var. duboisii H88
Lineage: Eukaryota; Fungi; Ascomycota; Eurotiomycetes; Onygenales; Ajellomycetaceae
Description: Histoplasma capsulatum H88 hypothetical RNA
Source: RNAcentral
CUGAGAACCACGCCGCGCCUGACUGGUGGGGCCGAAUUCACCGUCAAAUUUCUGCUCUAACUCUCUCAUAUCAAAAGAGAGCGGAAAGUCACUCGAUCACCAGUUUAAAAGACUAAAUCCCUUAUUCCAUGCAUUCUGAUUACCAUGGCUUAUAUAGUAUUGAACAUGACAUAAACGAUAUAUGCUGAGAAUAUGGGUUAGAUCUGUUGGUGUUUUUCUGCCCUGCUAGGAUUCAGCGGAUUAUCCGCGCUUCACGUCUCAUAGCUAUCAAGGGCUUAAAACAAUGGUCGAAACCCAGCCCGAUUAUCCAGGGAGAAAACGAGAGCUCUCGUUCGAUUUCUGAUCGUGUUUCAACUUCCUCUGUUCGGCGAGGAAGAGUGGCUCAUGGCUCUUCUUUAAUCGUGAUAACACUUUGCAAGCAGUAUCCCAGCACCGGCGGCUCUAGUCUUUAAUGUUGAUUCUGGCUCCAAAUCACCUUUUGGUGUGAUAACUGAAAGAUUAACAAUUAUCAGUUCUAAGAUCAUCUCAAAAUUAUAAUAGAAACUUACGUCUUGUUCAGAAUUGCGUGAUAUUUCCGCCUGAAACUGUCCUUCAAAGUUGCUAUCUGAAAUAGAACUUGUGGACACUUCACUGAUGGCCUAGAGGGCUAGAAGGACGAGGUA